UCGCCGUCGCCGUAACAACCGCUCGAGCCCUCGCCGCGCCCCUCGCAGCUCCCGCCCAGCCCCCUCCCCGGAACCGGCGGUCGAGCGGCAGCCGCCGAGCAGUGGAACUGCGAAGGCACCGCGGAGCCGCCGGCAUGAGCUCCUCCCGCCGCCCCGCGCCCCGGGCUCGGCCUUUCUGACAAGAGGUAGGUGCGCGUCCCCGCGGCGGGCUCCGAGCGCGCCCCCGGGCGGCCCCGGGACGCUCCGGCCGCCUCCCGCCCGCCCGCUCCGAGCCCGCGCCGGAGCGCAGCCUGGCCCCCUCCCCGAGCCCGUCCUGCGGGAGCCGAGCUGCGGCCGCGCUCCUGCCGGCCCCGGAGUCCGCGGCGCUGGCCCGGCCCGGCCCGGCCACGCCGAUUGUCAUGCAAUAGAGGCAGCCGGGUCCCGGACCCCGCGCCGCGCAUCCGAGCUGGCGCCCGGCGGGUUCAGGGAAGCGGCGAGUUGGCGGGUCCUCGGCUGGAGUCACUCCCGGCUCCGACAGGCCGGGUCCCAGCGGACGGGCCGACGGUUUCCUCAGCGAGCACCACCGUGUCUUGCAUCCUCUCCCUCCCCCGACCUCCCCCGGCAGUCGUCCUCCUCUGUCUGGGAGAUACCGUAAAAUUAAUUUUCCCAAUUAAAAAUUUAAAAGCUUAUUAGAGCCCCACCGUGCACCGGCACUGAACGGUGUGCAAAGUGAAUAGAACGUGGUCCCAGCGCCCGGGACGCGUCAGCUCCAGGAUCCAGAUGAACGCAGACUCGGAGUCGAGUUUGCAGAACUCAGAGUUUGGCUCCGGUUAUCAUGAUUUUAGAGCUGUGAGUGUUUCAAGAUCAUCUUUCCCAAACCUGGUUUUAUAGAGAUGGAAUUAGGGAGGGCAAAUGGCUUGCUGGAGGUCACCCAGAAUUAUUCCCUCGCAGUUUUCCGACUGUCAGAUGGCUUGUUUUCCAGCAUAACCUGCUCCUCUGAGAGAUAUGCCAAAUAAGCAUACCAGAGGAAGUUCCAGGCCUGUUUAAAGUAAUGUAAACAUGGUAGAAAUGCGGUAAUAUAGAGAGCAGUUUUCUGAAAUAAAAUCCUCAUAAUGUCUUUUUUUACAGCUAGACUUUGGGAUCCUUGAGGCUAUUCAGCUAUGCACUUUUGAAUAUCCUCUCACCAUAUUCAACAUAACAUUCUUAAUGAUUAUCCUCAGCAGGACAGGUAGGCUUAUUUGAUUUAUUUUUUCCUCCUCACUUUUCUCUUCCCACUUUUAGUUAGGUGAGUAGAGUCCCAGGUGUGUUUUCAGAAACCUCCAGUGAGGCUGGCACCAGAAUGAUUUUGUGCUGGAGGGGGGGGUUCCUUGGUGUGUGGGUGAAGCUUGAGCAGGGCUCGAAGCCUCAGAGCCAUCACAGCUCUUCCAGGCUGGAGUGUUCAGGGAGCCCCUAGAACCGCAGUGCUCAGCCUCCCUGUCGCUUGAAGACUGAUCUCUGAAAUUGUAGUAUACACAGAAGACAGGACAUGAUGAAAGUGCUGUUUGGGAACCAGCAUUUUGAGGGGUACUCCAUGAUUUGAGAUACAUAGUAUUUUUCCCCUGCUUUUUUGUGUUUUCCCCAGAGUUGAGUAAGACGUUAACCAUUUUUUUAAAAAAGUUUUCCUAGUUAUACAUGGACACAUUAUCUUUAUUUUGCUUAUUUGGUUUUACAUGGUGCUGAAGAUCGAACCCAGUGCCUCACAUGUGCAAGGCAAGCGCUCUGCCACUGAGCCCCAGCCCGAUGAUGACCAUUUUUAUUUGGCUUUCAGUUGAAGUUGUUCAAAAGAAAAUAAUUGGACUAAUUGAAUCCUAGCAUUUUCUUCCUAGGAAGGACUAGAUCAUGGAACCCAGGGCAGGGCCCAGCUACACAGAUGAGGGCAGUGGAGGCCUCCACCCUCAGACCAGUGUGGUUCCCUUGUUCCCUUGGGCGUACUUUGCCUUUUUUAUUGUCUCACUACCUCCCCUGCCAUUGUGUAUUUCAGUAUCUUUCGAUUUAUGUGUGCAUAGAAGUAUGACUUAUUGUGGUCCCUUUUUAGCCUUAGAAUGUGGGAUGAUGUGUUGAUGCAGACUUAUUUUUUCUGUAUAGUGGUGGUUUAUCACAUAUGGGUAUGUUUUGCAGGUGUGAGAGGAUUGCUAUUGUACUACAAUCAUGGUGCAAAAAUACCAGUCACCAGUGAGGGUGUAUAAACACCCCUUUGAAUUAAUUAUGGCUGUAAGUACUGUACAUUUCCAUUUACUCUUUGGCUUCUUAUUUUUUAAGUCUUAGAAUCUGAUGCUCUGUAAAACUUAACGUGCAUUGUUUGUCCCCAUUGCUUCACUUAGUCUGUUUACAUGCUCAUGAACUGUAUUGUGUGUAAGAUGUUUUUAAAACAUAAGCCUCUGAAAUUCUGCAUAUUUGUUUUAUUUUAUUUUAUUUUAUUUUAUUAUUUUUUUUUUUAAUAUUUAUUUUUAGUUUUCGGUGGACACAACAUCUUUGUUUGUAUGUGGUGCUGAGGAUCGAACCCGGGCCACACGCAUGCCAGGCGAGCGCGCUACCACUUGAGCCACAUCCCCAGCCCCUGCAUAUUUGUUUUAUAAAAACACCCCUCAGGAUCAUGUGUGAAUUCGCGUUAAUUCCCCCUUUAAAAAUGCAGAAGUGGGAUUCUGACUAAACACUUCCUAUGAAUUUUGUUCUGUUUUUCCUUUUUGGUUAAAGUAGCAGAGGGACGUGGCGUGUGGGUUCUUACCUGUGGGAGCGAGCUCUGGUUGUGGGUGACUGCAGGUAGUCUCCGAGGAGCACUGGAAGGGGGCCUGCCUCGGCUCUCUGCUGCCUGGGCUUCCCACCUGACAGCAAAUCUGUGAGUCAGAUUCCACAAAUGAGAUAACUGAAGUCUCAUUUCUUGUUGUUAUUUGCCUGAAAAUUUGGCUAAAAAUAAACAUUUGAUUGGACAGAAAAACUGUUCCAGGUACUUUUACGUUAUGUGUAGUAAUGCUCCUUGCCUUCUCUUUUGUGUUAUUAUAAGGGUAUGAUAUACCUUCAGGAACACGUGAUAGCUCCAGGAAAAGGCUCUCACUGUCACGCACAUGCAUCCCUAAGGAAGUGUCACACUGAACACACCAGGGUUCUGAAACCAGGGUCAGUGAGCCAAGUUGCACUUGGCUCCUUUGGGUCCCCCCCACCUUCUCAAAGUGCUCCAGUACCCUGACUUCUAACACUGAAGGUGACUGGGCUGGGGAUUUGCUCCAGUGACAUGGCUCCUGCCUGUUAUUCGCAAGGUCCUGAGUUCUAUUGCCAGUUAGCACCCCCACCCUCAAAGUAGAGAGAAAAGUUCCAAUCUAAGGGAUUAAGGGGAAGUUUUGUGGGUGUUUUACUGAGGUAUAACUUACAUAUAGCAGAUGGCUACAUGUUAGCCACAUAGUUUGAUCAGUUUUUUUUUUUUUUUUAAUUUUUUUGGGUUGUAGAUGGACACAAUACCUUGAUUUUGUUUGUUUAUUUUUAUGUGGUGCUGAGGAUCAAACCUGGUGCCUCACACGUGCCAGGCAAGCGCUCUACCUCUGAGCCACAACCGAGCCCCAGUUUGCUCGGUUUUUUUUUUUUAGAUUGAAAGCAUGCCUUUGUUUUAUUUGUUUAUUUUUAUGUGGUGCUGAGAAUCAAAUCCAGUGCCUCACACAUGCUAGGCAAAUGCUCUGCCACUGGGCUACAGCCUCCGUCCUGGUCAGUUUUAAGAUGGGCUGGGGAUAUAGCUCAGUUGGUAGGGUGCUUGCCUCGCAGGCACAAGGCCCUGGGUUCAAUCCCCCGCACCACCACAAAAAAGAAAAAAAGGAAGAAGACGAGUCACCCCCACCUCUGUCAAGACAGAGUAUUUGCAUCUGCUACCCCAACAAGUUCCUUGUGCUCCCUCUGUCAGGUGUGAGACUUCUGUGUGUAUGGCUGUUUCUGAAAAACAGUUCUGUAUUUCCCUUAAAUAUAUCUGAGUGGCGCUGCCUAGUAUCUGAUGAAUGACAGGACGUGUCUGAGAGGCUUUGCUGUCCGUCCGCGUCUCUCUUGCUGGUCUGGCUUUGGCUGUGUGGAGCAGAGGCCGCUCCAGCCAGCCUGAAAGGGAGUUCUGUUAGCAGCCACACUUGUGGGCUGUAGGAAUCUCACAGACAUUGAGGGUUUCCAGCUGGGACAGGCUGGAGCCUGGUGGUGGAGGGGGCUCUUGGCAGCUCUAGGGCCUAGGAGCAGUUGUCCCUGGAACUUCACCCCAUGGGACCCCACCUUGCUCUAUCUGCCAGAACUUUUUUGUCUCCCCACCAACUGGCUUCUUGCUCACUCUUUGCCCUUCCCUGUGGCUUCAGCUCAAGUGCUUUUCCAGUUGGCCAAAACCCUCUGGCUCCAGUUCCACUUUGUGGCAUUUCUUGUUGAGUUCUUUUAGUUUCUAAGUGACCAGUUCUUGUCACAUUUCCUAGUUCACGUUUUUGAAAGAAACUUUGAUCUGGUCCACUUCUCUCCCUGCCCCCCCUCCCCCACCUGAACUACAAGCGAUUGGCCAGCUCGCCUAGUGUCAGCCUUGGGUGGGAUGCCUGACCCUGGCCAGUUCCUGAGCUGGUGGGGUGGGGGGAGGAGGUGUGGGGAUAGUAGGGACCGAAAGGCCAUGAGGAAUGAAGCCGCAUGUCUGCCCCACCAGGGAGGGGCUGUGGACAGGGCGUGUUGUUUUUUGGAGCCCGAAGUGUGAUUUAAAAAGCGGUCUGCUGAUCUCUUCUCCAAACACUAGAUUUAAUAAAGAGACUUUUUGUCUAAUUUUCAAACUUCCUUAUUUCCCUUACUUUACUAUUUUCAAAAUUGAGAAGUUUGCUU
Molecule: long non-coding RNA, 4833 nt
Filed under: Marmota monax (woodchuck)
Lineage: Eukaryota; Metazoa; Chordata; Mammalia; Rodentia; Sciuridae
Rfam family: tRNA (bases 3731-3803)
Source: RNAcentral